UACAGAGGUCUCAAGCGUUGUUCGGAUUCAUUGGGCGUAAAGGGUGUGUAGGUGGCGCGCUAAGUCGGGUGUGAAAUUUCGGAGCUUAACUCCGAAACUGCAUUCGAUACUGGCGUGCUUGAGGACUGGAGAGGAGACUGGAAUUUACGGUGUAGCAGUGAAAUGCGUAGAUAUCGUAAGGAAGACCAGUGGCGAAGGCGGGUCUCUGGACAGUUCCUGACACUGAGACACGAAGGCCAGGGGAGCAAACGGG
Molecule: ribosomal RNA, 253 nt
Filed under: Verrucomicrobiota bacterium
Lineage: Bacteria; Pseudomonadati; Verrucomicrobiota
Also listed under: 4 other names
Description: partial 16S ribosomal RNA
Rfam family: Bacterial small subunit ribosomal RNA
Source: RNAcentral